This 888-nucleotide long non-coding RNA is filed under the name Chinchilla lanigera (long-tailed chinchilla). RNAcentral describes it as "lncRNA (ENSCLAG00000026521.1)". The record is from RNAcentral. Lineage: Eukaryota; Metazoa; Chordata; Mammalia; Rodentia; Chinchillidae.
GAAGAGUUUUGAGGAGGGAAUGUAUUAGUCAUUCUUCACCUCAGCCAAAUGGCUGUAAAUGAUCUUACAAGAAAUUUCAACCAAACACCCGGACCAGGGAAACCAGCAGUCACUAAGCCGGGCGCUCGGGGGGAGAAUCGGCUGUUUUGACUCUUCAGGCUCUUUCUCGCAUCAUAAUUCUUUUUAUCUCCCGAGUAACGAGUUCGAUUUUACUUGCAGGAACAAUGGCUUACCUCCUAAGCCCCGCUUUCUCCUCCCUCCCGGGCACUUUUCCACCCCCUCGCCUCUGCCCGGAGCCCAGCUUUGAAUCGGGCUGCCCGAGGGAGCUCUGAGGCUCACAGGGGCCGGCGGGCAGGCUCUGACCCCAGUCCUCUGCUCCUGGGGGAGGGUCUGCCGCGGGGAUGCUGGCAGAGACCGACUGUCACGGUCACCAUGGUGACCGCGCAGCAGCUGCUGUCCCCACCGUCCAUCGGGAAGGUGUGUCUGACGGUGCUCACAGCAGGCCGGCGGGCGGCGGCAGCCCCAGCUGAGGCCAGCAGCCUUGGGCGCCGAGGCCCCUUGCUUCCCAGAGCCCCGGCCUGUCCAGCGGCUGCCUGCACAAGCCGGGUCCGGAGGAGCAGGCUCGGCCUCCCGCACGCACACACUUCUCUGCAAUCUCGCCAUCCUGGGAACGUCUCCCGGGCCUGGAAAAAACCACCACUGGAGGCUUCCCAAAAACAAAUCAUGUGGAGUCGGAGCUGGCGUCUCAGGAAAGAGAAGUCUCAGAGCAAAGUGCCACUGAAACACAAAGCCUUCCCAGCCUGUGCCCAGCCUGCAGGGUGCCGCUGUGAGUGCCGCGGGGACACAGCCUCUUCGCUGACACGCUGUGCUCGCCCCAGGCAGCACUGA